Non-coding RNA from Zootermopsis nevadensis, 70 nucleotides. The record is from Rfam. NCBI's taxonomy places the organism in Eukaryota, Metazoa, Arthropoda, Insecta, Blattodea, Termopsidae.
GCCAUGGUGGUCUAGCGGUCAGAACACUAGCCUUGUAAGCCUGGGGUCCCGGGUUCAAUUCCCGGUGGUG